This is a non-coding RNA of Triticum aestivum (bread wheat), 124 nucleotides long. The record is from Rfam. Lineage: Eukaryota; Viridiplantae; Streptophyta; Magnoliopsida; Poales; Poaceae.
AAUAUACUCCCUCCGUCCGAAAAUACUUGUCCUUAAAAUGGUUGUAUCUAGACUUAUUUUAGUUAUAGAUACAUCCAUUUUAUCCAUUUCUAGGACAAGUGUUUCUGGACGGAGGGAGUAUGAG